UACGUAGGGAGCAAGCGUUGUCCGGAAUCAUUGGGCGUAAAGCGCGCGUAGGCGGCUCGAUCAGUCUGUUGUGAAAGUCAAAGGCUCAACCUUUGAAUGCCGAUGGGUACUGUCGAGCUAGAGUCCGGAAGAGGCGAGUGGAAUUCCUGGUGUAGCGGUGGAAUGCGCAGAUAUCAGGAGGAACACCAACGGCGAAGGCAGCUCGCUGGGACGGUACUGACGCUAAGGCGCGAAAGCGUGGGGAGCGAACAGG
RNAcentral lists this ribosomal RNA (253 nucleotides) under uncultured bacterium. RNAcentral's name for it is "partial 16S ribosomal RNA". It matches the Rfam family "Bacterial small subunit ribosomal RNA", at positions 524 to 776 of the family's 1533-position model. The record is from RNAcentral.